UCAAUGGAUGAUUUAUCAUUUGCUAUGCAGACUGACACUACAUUAGGGAGUCGAUUGUGUAUCCAUGCAAUGUAGUGAAAAUUACAAAAGUGAGCAAAUUUACUAGUUGUUGACCAAUAAGAUCAUAGAUAUUUUAGUAAAUUCGUUCACUUUUGUAAUUUUCACUAUAUUGCAUGAUACACAAUAGACCUCCAGAAUUUGAGAAUUAUUGAGAUUCAAACGUAUUCGAUGCAAAAUUUAUUGCAGCUGAUGAAAUGAAAAAACUUGAAGAAAGGUGAUAAAGAUGAGAGAGAAGAUAGUCGUACAUUAGAAAGCAAAAUUAUAAAUAAUGACUAUAAAAGAGCUGUUGAAUUCUGGAAAAGUGAAAAAAGGGACAUUGCACUUUAUCAACAACACAUCAUCGUUUUAAAAAGGAAUGAACUUGGAAUGAAUGAAGAUACAUAAUUUAACAAGAGAAUAGUUGUUAAGAAUAAUUGAAUGAUUAUGUAUCGAUUGCUAGGAUGACAUUCGAUUGUAGUAACGAUAUCGAUGUAUCGAUGUAUCGAUUACUACACUUAUCAUGUUGGAUUAUUUUUGGAGCAAUGAAUUCACCGGGCGAUGCAUUGUAGGAUACAGGAAUUUCCCCAGAAUUUAUACCGAUGAAACAACAGCACAAGAAGAAAAAAGCUGGCAAAAAACGUGUUUUUAUUGCUAUGGAAGGAAGGCGUUUCUAUUACAUAUGAAAAUUAUAGAAUUUUUGUAUAACGUAAAAGAAAUAUAAGACUUAAUAAAUUACUAAAAAAUAUAUAUUUGAGAGUUUUUCCAAGAAUACUUUAUUCAUCGCAGCGAAACACGCGAAUAGGGAAAAGAAGAAGCUUUUUGCUACCAAAUGGCGGAUUUCCUCAGAAAAAGACAAUAUGGCGGUUACAGCCGUUAUUCACUUGUAUCUCGAGAACAAAGGCAAAAUGUUACUUGUUGGGAUCAGAGAUGCCAGUUUUGAGACGUUUGCAACAGAACGUGGAGAGGACGUAUAAAGUAUAAAGCACACACGUACCCAGUAUAAAGAGCGGUAUUCCCUCCAUGCUACCGUGCUACCAAAAGUCUGGCAUCAUCGAUGCUAGGCAUUGAAGACGGAAAGAGAACAGAGACGAGGAUUUCGAAAAAGAGAAAAGAAAAGAAGACGAGAUGGAACUGACCUAUCGAAAAUAUGGCAUAGUAUUAUUAUAUCUAUGUAUUAUAGUCAAAACCGUCGAAAAGGCGGUCCUAGAACAGUAAUGGAAAUUCGAACCCGCGCACGCUACCGUUUUUCCCCCUUUCCUUACACACACAUAGACGCUUUAUGAACCGUUCUAUGACUUUCAAACGAUCUAUGGACGUCUUGGACGUCGGCGCCCUGCUGAAUUGCACUAAACCGAGCGUGAUCGUUAUAGAAAUAAAAAAUAUGUAUAACAUUUGUUUUUGAAUUACGUAAUCUGUGAGAGCGCAGCGAGGCAAAGACAGUAGGUAUCUUUCUGAUAAUAUUAAAAAAAUAUUGAAGAAUGUUAUCUUUCGUAAUCCCCACUAAAAUCAAAGAUAAUGCACCAUAAAUUACAAAAACUCUAUCUUUUGCUAUGUAACUAAAACGCAUAAUAAAAUGGAUGCUUUUCAGCUGCGUUUUCACAGGCGACAUUAUAAUGUGUGUAUAAUAACAACGUCUGUUAAUUUCGA
This is an RNA transcript of Pseudomyrmex gracilis, 1686 nucleotides long. RefSeq lists it as uncharacterized. The record is from RefSeq and is a predicted model, not a curated record. The transcript is spliced from 4 exons. Lineage: Eukaryota; Metazoa; Arthropoda; Insecta; Hymenoptera; Formicidae.